UACGAGGGGGGCGAGCGUUGUUCGGAAUUAUUGGGCGUAAAGGGUGCGUAGGCGGUUCCGCAAGUCCUGUGUGAAAUCUUCGGGCUCAACUCGAAGUCUGCACGGGAAACUGUAGUGCUAGAGUGUGGGAGAGGUGAGUGGAAUUCCCGGUGUAGCGGUGAAAUGCGUAGAUAUCGGAAGGAACACCUGUGGCGAAAGCGGCUCACUGGACCAUAACUGACGCUGAGGCGCGAAAGCUAGGGGAGCAAACAGG
Molecule: ribosomal RNA, 253 nt
Filed under: uncultured bacterium
Lineage: Bacteria
Description: partial 16S ribosomal RNA
Rfam family: Bacterial small subunit ribosomal RNA
Source: RNAcentral